Sapajus apella (tufted capuchin) is the source of this 1605-nucleotide long non-coding RNA. RefSeq lists it as uncharacterized. The transcript has 7 exons. Lineage: Eukaryota; Metazoa; Chordata; Mammalia; Primates; Cebidae. The record is from RefSeq and is a predicted model, not a curated record.
UUGGAGCGCGCGCAUGCGCGGCAGCUCCUGCUGCCGAAGGGGUGAGGUGCACCAUGGUGGUCCGCUGGGCUCGGAGCGCAGCGCGGUCAGGAUGGACCAGGACGUGUUGCACUCUGAAGAGCUUCAUCAUCGGCGAGAAUGGGGUGAGCAAGUCCAGGUUCACCUGCUUCCAGGCGGGCAGGGCGUGGUAUUCAUCUCGUGUCAUGUCUAGUGCAAACUGGAACAUUAGGAGAAACACCGGCGGCUCAGUGAAAGGACUCUCAGCUUCGUGUGUUGUUUUAGUCCCAUCCCCAUCCCAGUGGAAGAACCGCUUACCUCGAAGUCUUCGUCGGUGAGAUAGAUCUCAAGCUUCAGAGGAUCGACCCCCUCCGGGAGCGGCCUGGCCAGGAGGUCGGCCAGCGGGGAAACAUAUUGGUGAAUGUCAGAGGCUCCAGACCAGCAUGGAUAAGGCGCGUUAGAGGGAGCCUCACCUUUGCAAUACUGGAGCACGGUCUCCAUCGCGCUCUUCCGGUCGGAGGCCCAGCGGAUGCGGGCAGAACCAGGGAUCUUGUUCUCGAUGGGCCACCAGCCUUGCCAGAGGUACACCUCGUGGUGAUUGUCAACAAGGAAAAGUGCUGUGAGGGAGGGACAGAGCCCGACCAUGAGGAGCUCCUUCGCGGACACUGGCAGCUCACUUAUCCUAAACCUAGCGGAUGCUGCCCCUCCCCGCUGCGGUGUCACGAGGGAAAUCCCCUUGGCUUUCACCCCAGGGACGAAGGGGCAAACACAGGGUCCCACCCAGCCCUUUGAAAGUUCAACUGGGAGAAGCCUCUAGGCAGAGAGAGGUGGCGUCAAGGAGUUGGCCUCUUUCAUUCCUUGUCCUCCAGGUCCUCCCAUCUUUGCUCCAGCUCAAGCCCGUGUAAACCUUCUGGAUGCAGGCAGGGCUGUGCUGAGAGUGGAAGGGACGAUGCAUGUGCCACUCAAGGGACUGUCAGCGCCAUGCAUCUCCAAAGAGCACAGUCAACACUGGCACGCACAGCUCACUGCAGAGAGUGGCAGUUGACCAGUGACCAUGCAGCAACAAGACUGAGAGGAAGGCUGGGAGAAGAGCGGAGACGCCAGCUCUGCCACUGUGGCGCUCACCCUAUUCUUAGCAGACAUCUUUGGAGUGCACCACCAUUCCCCCUUGGAAACACUGUAGGAAACAGGGGGGCUCCUUUCCCUGGAGCACCUGGACCUUCAGAUUUAAACAGGUAAAUAGGUAUCUGAUCAGCCUGUGCCUACCGUGGCCCCGGGGCGGGCGCACCUGCACAGCAAAGGGGCUGUAAAGAGGCCAAGAGACUUCUGAGUUGACAUCACAGAGCUGUGACCUGCAUGCUGUCCUAAGUGGGAGGGGUGAGGAGCGCUGCAGGAAGGCUCCUCCUUUGGCAAGGACAUGGAUGGUUUCUCCAGAGUUCACCUGACUCCCCGGUCCCCAGCUUCAAGCAUCCAAGUGAGUGUUUUGCAAUUGGGCACAUCACCAACAGGAACCCAGGAGAGUUUAGACUCUGCAUUUACUAAACCAGACCCACAAAGGCCAGCAAGCGCUCAGCCUUGGGAGAAACAGCCUCUUACUUUUCAAAUCAA